GAUGAACGCCAGCGGCAGGCCUAACACAUGCAAGUCGAGGGGCAGCACAGGUAGCAAUACUGGGUGGCGACCGGCGGAUGGGUGCGUAACGCGUAUGCAACCUACCAUUGAUUGGGGCAUAGCCCGAAGAAAUUCGGAUUAAUACUCCAUAAUAUUCAUUAAAGGCAUCUUUUAUGAAUUAAAGCUUUUGCGAUCAAUGAUGGGCAUGCGUGACAUUAGUUAGUUGGUGAGGUAACGGCUCACCAAAACGAUGAUGUCUAGGGGUUCUGAGAGGAUUAUCCCCCAACUGGUACUGAGACACGGACCAGACUCCUACGGGAGCAGCAGUGAGGAAUAUUGGUCAAGUGGACGCAAGUCUGAACCAGCCAUGCCGCGUGCAGGAUGACGGCCCUAGUGGGUUAGUAAACUGUCUUUUCCGACGGGAACGAACCCCUCCGACGUGUACCGGAGACUGGACGGUACCGUGGGAAUAGCAUCGGACUAACUCCGU
This 490-nucleotide ribosomal RNA is filed under the name uncultured bacterium. RNAcentral describes it as "bacterial SSU rRNA". It matches the Rfam family "Bacterial small subunit ribosomal RNA", at positions 28 to 506 of the family's 1533-position model. The record is from RNAcentral.